This 2250-nucleotide ribosomal RNA is filed under the name Anabaena sphaerica PUM-KM-MT-GRI. RNAcentral describes it as "bacterial LSU rRNA". It matches the Rfam family "Bacterial large subunit ribosomal RNA", at positions 428 to 2736 of the family's 2925-position model. Lineage: Bacteria; Bacillati; Cyanobacteriota; Cyanophyceae; Nostocales; Nostocaceae. The record is from RNAcentral.
CAUGGGGCACGAGGAUCAGCGAGGACCAUCUCGUAAGGCUAAAUACUACUGUGAACCUACUAGUACCGAAGUGACCGAUAGUGAACCAGUACCGUCGGCCCGUGGGUGAAAAGAACCCCGCAAGGGGAGUGAAAUAGACAUGAAACCAUUAGCUUACAAGCAGUGGGAGUCCGAUUAAAACCGCGUGCCUGUUGAAGAAUGAGCGUAACCAUAGGCACUGAAGACGAGAAUGUCGGAGCCAACCGAGUCUGAAAAGGGUACCCAACUCGAUUUCGUACCAGCGAUAAUCAGUGUUUAUAGACCCGAACCCUGGUGAUCUAACCAUGGCCAGGAUGAAGCUUGGGUAACACUCCGAACCGACCGAUGUUGAAAAAUCGGCGGAUGAGUUGUGGUUAGGGGUGAAAUGCCAAGGAUCAUGGCUCGAACCAGGAGCUAGCUGGUUCUCCCCGAAAUGUGUUGAGGCGCAGCGGUAAUGAUUAUAGUCGGGGGGGCGGGCUGGGAGACCGGUACCAAAUCGAGACAAACUCAGAAUACCCGAUGGACCGUUGCAAUUGCCUGAUGACGGUGGGGGAUAAGCUUCAUCGUCAAGAGGGAAACAGCCCCCGUACCCGAAAUAGACCACCAGCUAAGGUCCCCAAAUCAUCGCUAAGUGGAGGUGAGAUUGCCUAGACAACUAGGAGGUUUAAGACUGCCUAGAAGCAAAGAGUGCGUAAUAGCUCACUAGUCAAGCGAUCUUGCGCCGAAAAUGAACGGGGCUAACACACUGGAUCGCGAUGUACCGAAGCUGUGGGAUUAACUAAACAUUAAUCGUAGGGGAGCGUUCCGUAGUAGGAAGAAGCAGUAGCGGCAAGCAGCUGUGGACGAGACGGAAGUGAGAAUGUCGGCUUGAGUAGCGCAAACAUUGGUGAGAAUCCAAUGCCCCGAAACCCUAAGGGUUCCAGAGCCAGGUUCGUCCACUCUGGGUUAGUCGGGACCUAAGGCGAGGCCGACUGAAAUGAAGCGUUGAAGGCGUAGUGGGAGCAUCGUAGUUUGAUGAAACGUAAAUGCUAGGGACGCAUGAAAGAUAGCUACGCCCUGAUUGGUUUGGGAGGAGUUUACGAACUCCGAGUAGUGAAGGAUAAAGCUAGUAAUGUGAUGAACCCCCGUACUGAACGUAACUGACGAUCCGAAACCGACACAGGUAGGGAGGUUGAGAAUACCAAGGGGCGCGAGAUAACUCUCUCUAAGGAACUCGGCAAAAUGGCCCCGUAACUUCGGAAGAAGGGGUCCGUACGUACGUAACCGUACAACUCUUGCCCACCGAUGCGACUGUUUACCAAAAACACAGGUCUCCGCAAACUCGUAAGAGGAAGUAUGGGGGCUGACGCCUGCCCAGUGCCGGAAGGUUAAGGAAGUUGGUCAGGGCGAAAGUUUGAAGCUGACGACCGAAGCCCCGGUGAACGGCGGCCGUAACUAUAACGGUCCUAAGGUACUUGUCGGGUAAAGGAAGAUAGUUCCGACCCGCACGAAAGGCGUAACGAUCUGGAUGGUGUCUCAGAGAGAGACUCGGCGAAAUAGGAAUGUCUGUGAAGAUACGGACUGCCUGCACCUGGACAGAAAGACCCUAUGAAGCUUUACUGUAGCCCCUGGCCCUGACCAUGGAGGUGGGAAGCGAUGAAGUAUUCUUGACGAUUCGAUCCCCUUGUGGGGAAUAUGGAGCUAACGGUGAGAUACCACUCUGGCGAAGCUAGGAUUCUAACUUAUUUCCGUGAUCCGGAAAAAGGACAGUUUCAGGUGGGCAGUUUGACUGGGGCGGUCGCCUCCUAAAAGGUAACGGAGGCGCGCAAAGGUUCCCUCAGCACGCCCGUAGUCGUUUACCGUGGGCAUGCUUCAUAAAGGGAGCUUGACUGCAAGACCGACAAGUCGAGCAGGUACGAAAGUAGGCCUUAGUGAUCCGACGGCGCAGAAUGGAAUGGCCGUCGCUCAACGGAUAAAAGUUACUCUAGGGAUAACAGGCUGAUCUCCCCCAAGAGUCCACAUCGACGGGGAGGUUUGGCCCAGUAAACUAAACGAUGACCUCGCUGGGGCGGAAGUACGUCCCAAGGGUUGGGCUGUUCGCCCAUUAAAGCGGUACGUGAGCUGGGUUCAGAACGUCGUGAGACAGUUCGGUCCAUAUCCGGUGCAGGCGUAAGAGCAUUGAGCCAGUGCGUGUAGGAGCCUUCCUUAGUACGAGGACGCCACCGCUGGUGUACCAGUUAUUGUACCCGCAGU